This 310-nucleotide ribosomal RNA is filed under the name Poptella sp. RNAcentral's name for it is "partial small subunit ribosomal RNA". It matches the Rfam family "Bacterial small subunit ribosomal RNA", at positions 868 to 1344 of the family's 1533-position model. Lineage: Eukaryota; Metazoa; Chordata; Actinopteri; Characiformes; Acestrorhamphidae. The record is from RNAcentral.
UCCGCCAGGUACUACAAGCGCCAGCUUAAAACCCAAAGGACUUGACGGUGUCUCAGACCCACCUAGAGGAGCCUGUUCUAGAACCGAUAAUCCACGUUAAACCUCACCACCCCUUGCCUCUCCCGCCUAUAUACCGCCGUCGCAAGCUUACCCUGUGAAGGGAUAAACAGUAAGCAAAAUGGGUACCCCCCAGAACGUCAGGUCGAGGUGUAGCUCACGAGGUGGAAAGAAAUGGGCUACAUUUUCUGUACCAGAAUAUUACGAACGGUAUUAUGAAACUAUUACCUGAAGGUGGAUUUAGUAGUAAAAA